RNAcentral lists this ribosomal RNA (489 nucleotides) under Citrobacter sp. CK190. Its description in RNAcentral is "partial 23S ribosomal RNA". It matches the Rfam family "Bacterial large subunit ribosomal RNA", at positions 657 to 1143 of the family's 2925-position model. Lineage: Bacteria; Pseudomonadati; Pseudomonadota; Gammaproteobacteria; Enterobacterales; Enterobacteriaceae. The record is from RNAcentral.
AUAGGGGAGCCGAAGGGAAACCGAGUCUUAACUGGGCGUUAAGUUGCAGGGUAUAGACCCGAAACCCGGUGAUCUAGCCAUGGGCAGGUUGAAGGUUGGGUAACACUAACUGGAGGACCGAACCGACUAAUGUUGAAAAAUUAGCGGAUGACCUGUGGCUGGGGGUGAAAGGCCAAUCAAACCGGGAGAUAGCUGGUUCUCCCCGAAAGCUAUUUAGGUAGCGCCUCGUGAAUUCAUCUCCGGGGGUAGAGCACUGUUUCGGCUAGGGGGCCAUCCCGGCUUACCAACCCGAUGCAAACUGCGAAUACCGGAGAAUGUUAUCACGGGAGACACACGGCGGGUGCUAACGUCCGUCGUGAAGAGGGAAACAACCCAGACCGCCAGCUAAGGUCCCAAAGUCAUGGUUAAGUGGGAAACGAUGUGGGAAGGCCCAGACAGCCAGGAUGUUGGCUUAGAAGCAGCCAUCAUUUAAAGAAAGCGUAAUAGCUC